UCUUUUCGGUUCCACUGGUUGAAGUUGAAAAUUCUGUCGGUUGACUCGAAAUAUUGGAUGGCGAUAAACGGUCGUGCUGCGUAGCGGGUUCCUUACGCGGCUUCAAAUGGACAAGACUUCUACGAUACUCGGCUCCGUCCACGUUGACCAUGUAGGAUCUUUCGUUCAAUCGAUCAGAAACAGUUCCAGGAGUCCAAAGCUUCGAAGUCUCUGGAUGGAGUUGAACGUAAACCGGUGAUCCAGUUUGUAGUUCAGAUGGGACAUUCUCCACUACCUUUGGUUGCAAGUUUGUUGCACUUAUCGGUACACCACAUCGUGUUGAACGGGAAAACAAACGAGCUGCUGGACUGGAUCCAAUCUUGUUGGGAAUAUUGCGCCAAUGCAACAGAGCGUACCAAAAAUCUGAUCCGCUUUCUUCAGCCUUCUUCAUCAACCUUUUAGCUAUCUUCACGGCAGCCUCCGACUUCCCAUUGGCUUGCUGAUGAUGAGGUGCAGACGUGACGUGAUCAAAACUCCAUUCGCCGGCAAACUUCACAAUCUUUUGAUUCACGAAGUUUGUACCAUUGUCCGUCACUACUAGUUGUGGAAUUCCGUGACGCGCGAAGUUUUCCUUACAUGCAGCUACCACAGAUUCUGGCGUCAGAUCCUUUAACAAACCAUGGUAAUCAGCAAAAAACACAUCCAUCGAAACCAUCUGGAAAGGGUACACUGGAAUCUUAUGGCUUUGCAUUGGCGGAUUCGGUUGAGAUGCAGCAAAUUUAGCACAAAUUGCAGAUUCCUUGACGACAUCCUUGAUCUGCGAACUCAUUCCUGGCCAGAACAAAUUCGCUCUUGCUAACUUCAGUGUAGCCUCCACACCAUUGUGACUGAUAUGACAGCAAUCCACAAGCUUUCUCCGGAGAACAUACGG
This is a long non-coding RNA of Ochlerotatus camptorhynchus, 910 nucleotides long. RefSeq lists it as uncharacterized. The transcript has 3 exons. The record is from RefSeq and is a predicted model, not a curated record. Lineage: Eukaryota; Metazoa; Arthropoda; Insecta; Diptera; Culicidae.